Molecule: ribosomal RNA, 240 nt
Filed under: uncultured bacterium
Lineage: Bacteria
Description: partial 16S ribosomal RNA
Rfam family: Bacterial small subunit ribosomal RNA
Source: RNAcentral
CGACGUGGAUAACCUGCCUCACACAGGGAGAUAACAGUUAGAAAUGACUGCUAAUACCGCAUAAGCGCACAGUCUCGCAUGGACAGUGUGAAAAACUGAGGUGGUGUGAGAUGGAUCCGCGUCUGAUUAGGCAGUUGGCGGGGUAACGGCCCACCAAACCGACGAUCAGUAGCCGGCCUGAGAGGGUGAACGGCCACAUUGGGACUGAGACACGGCCCAAACUCCUACGGAAGGCAGCAG